UGUAAAUGCAACGUACGUACGUGCAUACGUGUACAUAUGUGACGCGCGGUGGUGGACACACAUGUGUAUACGACGUGGGAGACAUGGUAUAGCUGUACAUAAUGGAAGAUGGAAGAUUGCGGGCGACCUGCGGUGGCACCGGCGGCAGCAGGAAUCUCCCUUCCGCAGUGAUCCGACUAUGGGGUAUUGCUUCAGAAAAAUACUCGAUGCCUCGCACAGCUCCUGCGGUCCGUAAUGGGCCUACGGAACAAUUCGUUUGGGCCCCCCCCCCCCCCCCGUCAGGAUUUCACUGCUUUUGGGACCAACGGAAGUAACCGUCCCGAUGUCCGUACC
RNAcentral lists this unclassified non-coding RNA (333 nucleotides) under Athalia rosae (coleseed sawfly). Its description in RNAcentral is "misc RNA ENSAEAG00005000156.1". Lineage: Eukaryota; Metazoa; Arthropoda; Insecta; Hymenoptera; Athaliidae. The record is from RNAcentral.